Long non-coding RNA from Helianthus annuus (common sunflower), 2703 nucleotides. RefSeq lists it as uncharacterized. The record is from RefSeq and is a predicted model, not a curated record. NCBI's taxonomy places the organism in Eukaryota, Viridiplantae, Streptophyta, Magnoliopsida, Asterales, Asteraceae. The transcript is spliced from 5 exons.
CCUACUUUUGUACAGCUUUUUCAAACGAGAGAGAAGAGAGAAACCAUCCUUUCCUUCCUUGCAAAGCUGCCAGGUCACAUAUUUCAAUGAAUCUAUUUGGCUCCAUGCUUUGAAUUUUGAAAUUCAGAUUCCACUCUCAAUUCUCUCACAAUUUUUACAUCUUGCUAGAGUCGUAGAGAAGUUGUGUCUUCCGGCUACUAGCGGCGGCGAUGGCGACUAAACCCACUAAUAGAGGUACCGGAUCUAACGGAUUUGGUGGUGAUGGCGGCUAGGGUUUCGCCGCAAGCGGUGAAGAAAGCCGCUUCGUGGUUGUUCAAACCCGACCUAAAAAGGACCACCGUUCCAGCUUUCUUCCACAUCAAUAUUUAGGGAACGUGAAGAGGGAAGAACUGAGAAAAAAAGAGUGUGUGUGAGAGAGAGGGGGGGAGGAGGAGAGACGAGAGAGAAGAUAGAGGUGGCACAUGGAACUAAGGUUCCGGCGACGACAAGAUACGACGAGGUUGAACAAUGGCGAAAAAGGUAACAUUUUUAGGGUACGAUAGUGCAUUGGGAAGGGUUUCUUGAAGACGGCGUUAUGUUUCUUGAAGAUAUCGUUAUUUGGUUUGUUGCAUUUCAGGUUGUGUUUUACCUUUAAUGCAUCCAAUAUACACAUGGCAAGAAAAAUCAAGAACAGUUGAAGUUAGUUGUAAGUUGUAACUUCGAAUUCCCAUGUUCAUAUACCAGAAAUGACAAUUUUAACCAUCUAUUUAUGAAUGGGUCGGUCAAUUUCGGGUUGUGUUUUACCUUUAAUGCAUCAAAUUUAAUAAUUUUAAACCAUGCCUUGAUACAACCUCCUAAACCAUGUUAUCCAAAGUUCUGGAUUGUCAUUGUGAUAUUAGUGGUUUUAUUCACAUGUAAACUACCGGAUCUGAUUAAGCUUAAUGGCAUUAAUAUUAUCUUAAUCUUUAACAAAAGUUAUGAUGUUUGCUUCUGGUUUCUAUGGUGUGAAGAAAAAAAGAAGAGUAAAACUGAAAAACACUUGAAUUGGCAGUUGGUCAAUGAGACUAAACCUGUAUGAGUAGCUUAAAAUACUUUAAAUAAUAAUCGUACUCACUUAUUUGUUUCAGAGUUUGUUAAUUAGAUGAUUAAAAUACCGACGAGGAAUCCAAAGGAAGUUGAAAAAGAUCAAUACAAUGAAUUCUACAAGAAGGCAUUCAAUGAGUUUCAUGAUCCUCUUGCAUACGUUCACCUCACCACUAAGUUUGUGCAGGGUAAAGUGGGAUUUAGAAGUGUAAUCUACAUCCCUUGAAUGGUACCAAUGAACAAUGAGGAUGUAGUAAAUCCUAAGACAGAGAAUAUACAUUUGUACGUGAAACAUGUAUUCAAUUCAGAUGAUUUUGAUGGCGAACUGGCUAGUGUGGGAUUGUUGGCUGGGGUAUUUUGGGAAAUUUGGUAGCCUGGUUCAAAAAUGUUAUGGGCUGGGUGCGGAUGUUCCUAAGAUGACACUGAAGGGUGGGGCCCAGUGGCCCACAAAGAAUUCCUGAACACUGGUUAUUUAUUGCAGACGGAAGCCCAUCUCUGGUCCACUGUGCUGUUUAUGCUGGGGCUGGGUGGUUCCCACUGUUUAAUUGGCUCCGGGGUUUGUUUAAGAGUAUUGGACCGGGUUUGUGGGAUGGCUGUCAACUAGAAUGAGUAUGGCAGUUGUUUUUUUAGCUUCGUGUUUGUUGGUUUGCCCAUGGAUUCCCCGUGAUUGGAUUCCGGUUAUGCCAUCCCAAAUUUGGCCCCCGUUGUUUGGUGUGAAUAUUACUGUUUUAUUGCUGCUGGGACAGGUUUAAAGCUGGUGUUCAGGUGCGGGAACUGGUACAGUUGGGUGUGUGGUGAGUUUCGAAGCUUGGCUUUAUGCCUAUCUAUGAAGUCCCACACUAAACAAUUUUGGCCUGCUGUGUUAUGGGCCAAAACCGUGGCCCAAAUGCCUGUCCAAGGCCCUGGUUUAGCGCUGGGUAGAAAGGCCCAAAGUAUGGUUUUACAGCUGCAAUGGAAGGCCCAAUUCUGGGUUUUAAAGCUGCUAAGUAAGGCCCAAUAUGGUAUUUUUUGGUGUUUCGUGAAGGCCCAGCUUUGGGUGUUGUGGAUUAUAAUUGGGCUCAGAAGCAGACAUGUUGUGAUGACAUUUAAGACCUGUUACAUGGACCUUUUGGCUGCCACAUUGGACUCAAGCGUCGGGCUUUAUAGCUGUUUUUUGGGCCUCGGGUUUAUGGGUUUUUUGAAGGCCCAGAUUGGGUUGGAUAUAUGUUGGUGUAGCGGUUUGGAUAGGCUCGCUGGAGGUUCUCUUUGGGCCGUUGGGAGCCCCUGUUUGGCCCGGGUUAUUCACUGUUGGCACUGGUUAGCUACAAACCAUGGUGCAAUGUGGAAAAACGGUUAUCCGCAAGCUGAAAGCCGGGAGAUAUGGAUAUAUAAAAUGGAGUUUGGAUCUUUAUAGAUGCAACUAUAUCUUAUACUAUUGUGGUAUUCCUCGAUGUAGUUCCCCUUGUUUUGAUAGGCACUUUUGUAAAGGUUUUUACCAACUUUGGUUAAGUUGCAUUGUUAGCGUCAUUUUUUGUUACGCUAGGUUUUUUUGUAUGCCUAUACUGAGGUUGGAUGAUUUCUUAUUUUUGGUCCCUGAAGUAUGUUUUAGGGAUGAUAUGGGGUAUCCCCUCUGACUCUAAUUUUUUCAUUGGUUUUAUGUUA